This 160-nucleotide ribosomal RNA is filed under the name Cladonia humilis. RNAcentral describes it as "5.8S ribosomal RNA". It matches the Rfam family "5.8S ribosomal RNA". Rfam says of the family: 5.8S ribosomal RNA (5.8S rRNA) is a component of the large subunit of the eukaryotic ribosome. The record is from RNAcentral. Lineage: Eukaryota; Fungi; Ascomycota; Lecanoromycetes; Lecanorales; Cladoniaceae.
AAACUUUCAACAACGGAUCUCUUAGGUUCUGGCAUCGAUGAAGAACGCAGCGAAAUGCGAUAAGUAAUAGUGAAUUGCAGAAUUUAGUGAAUCAUCGAAUCUUUGAACGCACAUUGCGCCCCUCGGUAUUCCGGGGGGCAUGCCUGUUCGAGCGUCAUUA